GGUGCUUCCUCAGCCUGCUGCUCCUCUCUGGGCUGGAGAGCGAUACUAAAACCCAAUGAAACCAGAAAGUACUGGCACUUUCCUUGUGGUGUGCUUUUCCUAGAGGCGCUUCGCCAGAAACCCAGGCAGCAGAGCUUACUUAGUGCCAGCUAUCACCUUCAGCCACACCAAGAAUCUGGUUGAGAUGAAAACCCCCAGAAGCACUGCAUCCUUCGAAAGAUGGAUUUUGGUCCAGACAGAGGGCUGCUCUAUGGCCAUAUGUGCAAAACUCCAGAGCAGAUGAGUUUCUUCACAAGAGAAACAGGGGAACCCAGUUGCUAUUGAUAGUGGCCUGCAAACAAUCACAUCUAUGAAUUGCUGCAGAGAGGAGGGUGGAUGAUCCAUCCAGAAGACAAGAAGAGAAGAGAGACUUCACAUUGCCACGUCCCAUUGUGCCCUGGGCUGUAUCAUUACUGCCUUCACAUGUCCCAGGGCCACAUCUUCAGAUUUUACAAAGUGCUGUGCCAAGAGAGAUUUUGAAACACAUUCUUUCCACAAAACAACAUACUGAAGCGCUGAUGGAUGGGUCCAACACUCCGAUUGUCUUGUAGACAGAAGGAUAUGUAAAAUGUCAAUGACUUGGGAAUGAUGAUCAUACAAUGAUGCCUGAAGACAGGUGGAUGAGUUCAACAUGCAAUCCAUUUUGAAAGGAGGAAGAAGAGAGGUAGAAGCUUCAUUUUAGUUUAGAGCGUUCUGACGGGAAGACCUGUCAGUCAUUCUGAAGAUGAUUCUUGAGUUCUGCCUGUGUUCAUGGAGUGAAUUAUAGCAAACAAUGAAUCCUGUAAGGUAUUUAGCUCCUUACUAAGUUAAAGGGAUUUCUGUAGUGCUGGCAGGUCACUUUAUGUCAGUCCACUAGCAUCCUUGCCUGCCACCUCCCUGCUCGUGUUUCUUCCCUUGAA
Molecule: long non-coding RNA, 938 nt
Organism: Onychomys torridus (southern grasshopper mouse)
Lineage: Eukaryota; Metazoa; Chordata; Mammalia; Rodentia; Cricetidae
Exons: 3
Source: RefSeq, a predicted model, not a curated record